This 656-nucleotide long non-coding RNA is filed under the name Zea mays. Its description in RNAcentral is "drought responsive lncRNA". The record is from RNAcentral. Lineage: Eukaryota; Viridiplantae; Streptophyta; Magnoliopsida; Poales; Poaceae.
GCUUCCUGGAUCCAGCCCUUUGGUUGGCUUUUGGCUUUUAGAGAGGCAAAAGCCAAAGCCAAACCAAACACACCCUCCUACGUGUGACGUGCCCCACGCUUUCUCUCCUUCUCCCGUCUGAACACACAUUAUCAAUGAAGCACACCAUGCCGACGCUGCGAGCAGCGAACUUUAGGGUAUGGUUAUUUCCUCAGUUUCAGAAAACUUCAUCUUUCUGCUCUGUUUGACAGUUUUGUUUGACAGCUCUGUGAUUACUGCUAGGUCUGAUAAAAUUAGCUAAAAACGUCCAGGUAGCGUAAAAAAAGGAGCUGGAUAGAUACUGCUAUUGAUAUGCUGGUUUAUCUCCACGAUAACGUUGAGGUACGCUAAUUUAAGAUAAACAAUAUUAACGCGCGUUAGGUGUCCAUUUCGAAGACGCUUUCAUGAUAAGUCUGUCAGCCGGUGCCUGUGGCUCAAACUUUAAUUCCCACAUCUCAAUAGAUGAAACGGGUUCAGGUAAGCAACUUGCUGCGCGCCUGACAAUUGUCCAAGUUCAUUAUGAUGCGUUCAUUCAGUGGCACAGCAUGUCUUAAAAGGAAGUCUCAACACUAAACCUGAACGGUUCGCCAAGCAACCUGCAGUUCCCUCCACAUUUUCGCAUCCGGGCUUGGGACCGG